RNAcentral lists this ribosomal RNA (468 nucleotides) under uncultured bacterium. RNAcentral describes it as "partial 16S ribosomal RNA". It matches the Rfam family "Bacterial small subunit ribosomal RNA", at positions 28 to 507 of the family's 1533-position model. The record is from RNAcentral.
GACGAACGCUGGCGGCGUGCUUAACACAUGCCAGUCGAACGGAAAGGCCCUGCUUUUGUGCGGUGCUCGAGUGGCGAACGGGUGAGUAACACGUGAGUAACCUGCCCUUGACUUUGGGAUAACUUCAGGAAACUGGGGCUAAUACCGGAUAGGAGCUCCUGCUGCAUGGUGGGGGUUGGAAAGUUUCGGCGGUUGGGGCUGGACUCGCGGCUUAUCAGCUUGUUGGUGGGGUAGUGGCUUACCAAGGCUUUGACGGGUAGCCGGCCUGAGAGGGUGACCGGCCACAUGGGGCCUACGGGACGGCCCAGACGCCAACGGGGGGCAGCAGUGGGGAAUAUGGCACAAUGGGCGGAAGCCGGAGGCAGAAACGCCGCGGGCGGGAUGACGGCCUUCGGGUUGAAAACCGCUUUCGCCUGUGACGAAGCUGGAGUGACGGUAAUGGGUAAAGAAGCACCGGCUAACUACGUG